RNAcentral lists this transfer RNA (71 nucleotides) under Herpele squalostoma. RNAcentral's name for it is "tRNA-Ser". It matches the Rfam family "tRNA". Rfam says of the family: Transfer RNA (tRNA) molecules are approximately 80 nucleotides in length. Their secondary structure includes four short double-helical elements and three loops (D, anti-codon, and T loops). Lineage: Eukaryota; Metazoa; Chordata; Amphibia; Gymnophiona; Herpelidae. The record is from RNAcentral.
UAGAAGGUGGUAGAGUGGUUAUACGGCUGUCUUGAAAUCAGUUUAUGUGGGUUCGACUCCUGCCCUUUUUG